ACCGCCCUCUAAGGCUCGGCUGCCUGCGACCGGAAGAGAGCGAGGCCGAGAUAUGUUGUAUUUAUAUGAAUGGUAAAUUACCAUAUAUCUCAUCGUAUAUCUUGCCUUUUAAAUUUUAACUAUAUAUCUCAGAGAUGAUUCCACUUACAGCUGCCUCAUUCUUCUAAAUGGAACAUUGUAUUCUAUCUUUACUUAAUCACAUCUUAUAACUGAUAAUUCUACCUUUUUGCAAUGGAGUGAAAU
Molecule: long non-coding RNA, 243 nt
Filed under: Bos taurus (domestic cattle)
Lineage: Eukaryota; Metazoa; Chordata; Mammalia; Artiodactyla; Bovidae
Description: long non-coding RNA NONBTAT019233
Source: RNAcentral